UACAGAGGUCUCAAGCGUUGUUCGGAUUCAUUGGGCGUAAAGGGCGCGUAGGCGGCCCGCUAAGUCGAACGUGAAAUCCCCGAGCUCAACUCGGGAACUGCGUCCGAUACUGGUGGGCUUGAAUCCGGGAGAGGGAUGCGGAAUUCCAGGUGUAGCGGUGAAAUGCGUAGAUAUCUGGAGGAACACCGGUGGCGAAGGCGGCAUCCUGGACCGGCAUUGACGCUGAGGCGCGAAAGCUAGGGGAGCAAACGGG
RNAcentral lists this ribosomal RNA (253 nucleotides) under uncultured bacterium. RNAcentral describes it as "partial 16S ribosomal RNA". It matches the Rfam family "Bacterial small subunit ribosomal RNA", at positions 524 to 776 of the family's 1533-position model. The record is from RNAcentral.